CGCUACGGACUUAAUUUAAAAUCCGUCGACUUUAAAAAUCAUGAGGGUUCAAGUCCCUCUAUCCCCA
This 67-nucleotide transfer RNA is filed under the name Phelipanche purpurea. RNAcentral's name for it is "partial tRNA-Leu". The record is from RNAcentral. Lineage: Eukaryota; Viridiplantae; Streptophyta; Magnoliopsida; Lamiales; Orobanchaceae.